RNAcentral lists this ribosomal RNA (252 nucleotides) under uncultured bacterium. Its description in RNAcentral is "partial 16S ribosomal RNA". It matches the Rfam family "Bacterial small subunit ribosomal RNA", at positions 30 to 289 of the family's 1533-position model. The record is from RNAcentral.
UUGAACGCUGGCGGCAUGCCUUACACAUGCAAGUCGAACGGUAGAGGGGCAACCCUUGAGAGUGGCGAACGGGUGAGUAAUAUAUCGGAACGUGCCCAGUCGUGGGGGAUAACGCAGCGAAAGCUGCGCUAACACCGCAUACGAUCUAUGGAUGAAAGCGGGGGAUCGCAAGACCUCGCGCGAUUGGAGCGGCCGAUAUCAGAUUAGGUAGUUGGUGGGGUAAAAGCCCACCAAGCCGACGAUCUGUAGCUG